UGGGGAAUCUUGCACAAUGGGGGCAACCCUGAUGCAGCGACGCCGCGUGAGCGAUGAAGGUUUUCGAAUCGUAAAGCUCUGUCCUAUGGGAAGAUAAUGACGGUACCAUAGAAGAAAGCUCCGGCUAAAUACGUGCCAGCAGCCGCGGUAAUACGUAUGGAGCGAGCGUUGUCCGGAAUUAUUGGGCGUAAAGGGUACGCAGGCGGUUUAAUAAGUCGAAUGUUAAAGAUCGGGGCUCAACCCCGUAAAGCAUUGGAAACUGAUAAACUUGAGUAGUGGAGAGGAAAGUGGAAUUCCUAGUGUAGUGGUGAAAUACGUAGAUAUUAGGAGGAAUACCAGUAGCGAAGGCGACUUUCUGGACACAAACUGACGCUGAGGUACGAAAGCGUGGGGAGCAAACAGG
RNAcentral lists this ribosomal RNA (403 nucleotides) under Bacteroidota bacterium. RNAcentral's name for it is "Bacteroidetes bacterium partial 16S ribosomal RNA". It matches the Rfam family "Bacterial small subunit ribosomal RNA", at positions 355 to 776 of the family's 1533-position model. The record is from RNAcentral. Lineage: Bacteria; Pseudomonadati; Bacteroidota.